GGAAGGAUCAUUACAGAAUCGUCAACGGGUUGUUGCUGGUCCUCAAACGGGGACAUGUGCACGCUCUGUUUACACAUCCACUCACACCUGUGCACCCUCCGUAGUUCUGUGGUCUGGGGGAUCCUGUCUUCCUGCCGUGGUUCUACGUCUUUACACACACACUGUAAUAAAGUCUUAUGGAAUGUAUGCCGCGUCUAACGCAAUACAAUACAACUUUCAGCAACGGAUCUCUUGGCUCUCGCAUCGAUGAAGAACGCAGCGAAAUGCGAUAAGUAAUGUGAAUUGCAGAAUUCAGUGAAUCAUCGAAUCUUUGAACGCACCUUGCGCCCCUUGGCUAUUCCGAGGGGCAUGCCUGUUUGAGUAUCAUGAACACCUCAACUCUCAUGGUUUGCCGUGAUGAGCUUGGACUCUGGGGGUUUUGCUGGCCUGCGGUCGGCUCCCCUCAAAUGAAUCAGCCUCCCAGUGUUUGGUGGCAUCACGGGUGUGAUAAAUAUCUACGCUCGCAGUUGUCCGCCAGGUAACCUUUGGUAACAAAGGUUCGCUGGAGCUCACAGAUGUCUCUCCUCAGCGAGGACAGCUUUUUGAACGUUCGAUCUCAAAUCAGGUAGGACUACCCGCUGAACUUAAGCAUAUCAAUAAGCGGAGGAAAAGAAACUAACAAGGAUUCCCCUAGUAACUGCGAGUGAAGCGGGAAGAGCUCAAAUUUAAAAUCUG
RNAcentral lists this ribosomal RNA (714 nucleotides) under uncultured fungus. RNAcentral describes it as "eukaryotic LSU rRNA". The stretch from base 212 to 366 matches the Rfam family "5.8S ribosomal RNA". Lineage: Eukaryota; Fungi. The record is from RNAcentral.